RNAcentral lists this ribosomal RNA (460 nucleotides) under uncultured bacterium. RNAcentral describes it as "partial 16S ribosomal RNA". It matches the Rfam family "Bacterial small subunit ribosomal RNA", at positions 338 to 795 of the family's 1533-position model. The record is from RNAcentral.
CCUACGGGUGGCAGCAGUGAGGAAUAUUGGUCAAUGGUCGGGAGACUGAACCAGCCAAGCCGCGUGAGGGAGGAAGGUACAGAGUAUCGUAAACCUCUUUUGUCAGGGAACAAAGGCGGGGACGUGUCCCCGGAUGAGUGUACCUGAAGAAAAAGCAUCGGCUAACUCCGUGCCAGCAGCCGCGGUAAUACGGAGGAUCCGAGCGUUAUCCGGAUUUAUUGGGUUUAAAGGGUGCGCAGGCGGUCGGUUAAGUCAGUGGUCAAAGCCCGGGGCUCAACCCCGGCCCGGCCGUUGAAACUGGCAGGCUCGAGUGGGGGAGAGGUAUGCGGAAUGCGCGGUGUAGCGGUGAAAUGCAUAGAUAUCGCGCAGAACACCGAUUGCGAAGGCAGCAUGCCGGCUCCACACUGACGCUGAGGCACGAAAGCGUGGGUAUCGAACAGGAUUAGAUACCCGGGUAGUC